AGUAUGUCGUAGGGAAGCGCCGAUGGAGGGGGGUAACUACUGGAAACGGUAGCUAAUACCGCAUAACGUCGCAAGACCAAAGAGGGGGACCUUAGGGCCUCUUGCCAUCGGAUGUGCCCAGAUGGGAUUAGCUAGUAGGUGGGGUAACGGCUCACCUAGGCGACGAUCCCUAGCUGGUCUGAGAGGAUGACCAGCCACACUGGAACUGAGACACGGUCCAG
Molecule: ribosomal RNA, 221 nt
Filed under: uncultured bacterium
Lineage: Bacteria
Description: partial 16S ribosomal RNA
Rfam family: Bacterial small subunit ribosomal RNA
Source: RNAcentral